AGGAAGUUAGUCUAACCCAAGACAGCUGGUUUCGGCCCAGCAGAUUAUAGCGCAGCCCUAUGACUUCCUC
RNAcentral lists this transfer RNA (70 nucleotides) under Penelopina nigra. RNAcentral describes it as "tRNA-Arg". Lineage: Eukaryota; Metazoa; Chordata; Aves; Galliformes; Cracidae. The record is from RNAcentral.